Molecule: ribosomal RNA, 255 nt
Filed under: uncultured bacterium
Lineage: Bacteria
Description: partial 16S ribosomal RNA
Rfam family: Bacterial small subunit ribosomal RNA
Source: RNAcentral
UACGGGGGGAGCAAGCGUUUGUUCGGAUUUACUGGGCGUAAAGGGCGCGUAGGCGGUCAGCACAAGUCAGUUGUGAAAUCUCCGGGCUUAACUCGGAAAGGUCAACUGAUACUGUGCGACUAGAAUGCGGAAGGGGCAACUGGAAUUCUCGGUGUAGCGGUGAAAUGCGUAGAUAUCGAGAGGAACACCUGCGGCGAAGGCGGGUUGCUGGGCCGACACUGACGCUGAUGCGCGAAAGCCAGGGGAGCGAACGGG